RNAcentral lists this ribosomal RNA (111 nucleotides) under Treponema sp. The record is from RNAcentral. Lineage: Bacteria; Pseudomonadati; Spirochaetota; Spirochaetia; Treponematales; Treponemataceae.
UGGUUAUAGUGGAGGUGUUACACCUGUUCCCUUUCCGAACACAGAAGUUAAGCCCUCUCACGCCGAUGAUACUGCCCCUUGAAGAGGUGGGAAAGUAGGUCGCCGCCAGGC